AUGGCGAUGAAGCGCAAGUUGUCCCCCACAGAGGCUGACCUCGCCGCGGACGACCACCACCAGCCCGACACCGCCAGCGUCACGACGGCGACAGGGCCGGAACCAUGGGCAGCGACGGUCGGCGCCGCGGCGGCUGCACAGCGGGCUCGGAAGCGCUUCGUGGGCGUCCGGCAGCGGCCGUCGGGGCGGUGGGUGGCGGAGAUCAAGGACACCAUCCAGAAGAUCCGGGUGUGGCUCGGCACCUUCGACACCGCCGAGGAGGCUGCCCGCGCCUACGACGAGGCCGCGUGCCUCCUCCGCGGCGCCAACACCCGCACCAACUUCUGGCCCCGCGCAGCCGCCCCCGCGGCCGCCUCGGACGGCCACGGCGGGGCAGGGUUGGCCGAGAACCAUGGCCACCUCCACCACCACACGCCGCCGCCAUCGGCUCUCCCCUCCAAGGUCACCAACCUCCUCCUCCUCCGCCUCAAGAGAGCGCGCAGCAUCAGCGACGAACACCACAUUAGUGCAAGUGCCACUGCGCAAGAAGCACUUGGGCAGCAGCAGCAAGACCAAGAGGAGUACGGCGCCGGCAACUUCCACGUCGACGACUUCCUCAGCUACGACUCGAACGUCGACGAGCAUGGCGUCGUGAAAUACGAGGAGGACUUCCAUUGCCCUCGAGACGCGGAUGAUGAGGAAGAGGAUGUGUCCGAGGAGGAGGAAGAAGCGCCUCUGGACUUCGGGUUCAUGGACGCGCACCCGUCUCCCCCAGGGGACGUCGGCGACGCGGGGCUUUUCGCACCGUUCGAGAUGAUGGCGGCGGAGAUCGGCGGGGCGGUGGAGGCGGAGGCAGAGGCUUCGGAGUACGGCGGUGGCGAGAACGAGAACUCGGCGGCAAUCCACGAGGUGAUGAAGAGAAUGAAGUACGAGCGGAAGAUCUCUGCCUCGCUCUACGCGCUCAGCGGCGUGCCCGAGUGCCUCCGCCUGCGCCUAGGCAACUCCGGCGCCGUCGGCCACGGGCUGGCGCUCUCCGGUCUCAGGGAUGCGUGCAUGAGGAAGCGGCAGGAACAAAAUCAAGAAGCGGUGGUAGAUUGCGUUGAGGGAGGCCACGAGGAAAGCUCGAGCAGCAACAGCAGCUCGUCGUCUGAGGUAGCGAGCUGUUCGCCGGAGGCGGUGAUCUCGUCGCCGAACGCCGAUGCCGUCGACAGCGAUGUGGUGAUGUGGAGCUCCUUUGACCUGGCUCUCAUCUGCUUCAUGUCAUAA
RNAcentral lists this ribosomal RNA (1245 nucleotides) under Triticum aestivum (bread wheat). Its description in RNAcentral is "partial small subunit ribosomal RNA". Lineage: Eukaryota; Viridiplantae; Streptophyta; Magnoliopsida; Poales; Poaceae. The record is from RNAcentral.